Molecule: long non-coding RNA, 3743 nt
Filed under: Medicago truncatula (barrel medic)
Lineage: Eukaryota; Viridiplantae; Streptophyta; Magnoliopsida; Fabales; Fabaceae
Description: long non-coding RNA (MTRU_LNC001503)
Source: RNAcentral
CUAAAUACAUGGAGUGGUACCGCGACUGAAGUGUGGAACCCUGGAGCUUCCACAGUUCUUCAAGUCCUUCUCUCUCUGCAGGCUCUUGUCCUUAACAAAAAGCCUUAUUUCAAUGAAGCUGGAUGUGACCAACAAAUUGGUAGAGCUGAAGGAGAGAAAAACUCUGUUAGUUACAAUGAGAAUGCUUUCCUCCUCACCUGCAAAUCCAUGUUGGGUCUACUAAGAAAGCCGCCGGAGGUAAAACAACCAUACUUUUUUACUUUGAUUUUGCCUUUAUUAUAACACGGGACUGCAUGAUUUCCUAGGAAACAUUGACAAUAACUCAUUGCAUGUCUUGGACUGUGUAUCUCUAUUUCAUAGAGCGCAAUUAUUAAUAUUUUGUAGUUAGAAAUGGAGAUGCUAAACCCACUUGGGUUGGUCUGAUGGUGUUGGCUUGGGACCUUGGAGAGUGAUCCUUUCAAGAUCUCAGGUUCGAUUUUCCCCGGUGCAAAUUUCAGCAAGUAUGGCUUCUAAAAAAAAGAAAAAAAAUGUAGAGGCUAUAUUGAGAUGUGUGCAUGAUCCUUGAUUUCCAAUUAACAUUAGUUUCUUAAGUUUUCAGUUUUCAUUCAUAAAUUUAAAUUUACUGUAAUUGAUUACACUGAGGCUAUAAUAUUUUCAAGUAUCCUCUGUCCAUUUCACAAUAAUGAUCAUCAUGAGGUUUUUAGUUUCUUUCAAAUUAAUUUUCAUUUUAUCAAACUAAAAAAGCAUUGAUCAAAUACUUUUUUCGACUUUAUCCUUGUCUUUUCAUAUCCUCCCCAAGUAGAAUAAGAGUAAUAUAGUCGAAUACAUUUACAUUUACUUGUCAUUGAGGAUAUUUAAUGAUUCUCUCAAUCUUCACACGAAACAACUUUGAAAUUGUAACUAAUAAUUGCAGCAUUUUGAGGCAUUGGUGGAAGAACACUUUCGACAAUGCUCAAAACAUAUACUCGUUGCUUGUAAGGCAUAUCUUGAAGGAGCAAGCCUAUUGGAGGUGAAAAAAAUGAGCAUGAAAACCGAGAUGGAACUUCUACAGGAUUCAAAAUUAUGCUUUCUAAACUCUUCCCUAAGCUUGUUGAGGCAUUUUCUGAUAAGGGAAUUGACUGCUCCCAGUUUGUUGACAUGCAAAAGUGAAAACUCGACGAAGUUGAGUUAACCAUUAAGGUUGCUGGUUCCAACCUUAUGUAUGUGUAAUAUUAAUUUGGUUUCAUGUAUCUGUCUAAUAUGUCAAGUUAAGCUUGAAGAAAGAAAUAAAAACCUUGUGCUAUGUUUGUAUAUCAAAUGCUAGUUUAUUCUGUAAACAGUUUUAUAAUGCCUUAACAUAUGAGAAAUGAUAAAUGAACACAAAAAGUGACACCGACACCGUAUUUCUAUCCGGUCUGUGGAUCGAUUUAGCAAUUUUUAGCUUGCAUCGGGGUUCUGUGCAAGACUCACACUGCCUUGUAUCAUCUCAGUUGUCGCAUUCGGUAUCGAAAAAAAUUGUUUAAAAUGGCAGUGUUCAUACGCUAUAUAAUGCUUGUCCAUACUGAUUUGCUUGAUUUUUCCUAUGUUUGCAAGAAUUACUUAAUUUAUGUGAAAAAAUGCCAAAAUAAUAUAUUGAAAAUUGAUGACUAAAGUUUAAGAAGAGCAAGAUGUGCGAAAGCUUAGUAGAAACCAUGUGCUCAACCAACAUAUAAAUUCUUAUGAUGUGAUGAUGAUUUCAUAUCUACAACAAUGAAUAAGAGGGACAAUACUUAGGUGACAUUGUGGUUGGUGACAUUACCAACCACAAUGUUACAAGUGUGCAAAACAACAAAAAAAUCUUGUGAAAGAAAAAGAAGAAAGCCACAUGUGACAUUAUGGUUGGUCAAUGUCACCCAAGUGCUACCCGAAUAAGAGAGAGACCGAAUGAAUUUAAUAGUUAAUUGUCAUAGUAGUAAACCAAACACCACCAAGCUCCUCAAUUACAAAAUCAGAAAAUUAGUUAUGCAGACUUUAAUUAGAUAAACAACAUAUUCAUAAUAAAUUGAUCCUAAAACCUUUAGUAUGGGUCAUAUUGUCAUACUAGAUAUACAAAAUUUUCAAUAAACCUAAAAGAACAAUAGAUUAUCAUAAGAUAGGAUGGAUAGUGCAUGUUAAUUCAGUAGACGAGUUUAAUCCAUAAUUUCCUUCAGCAUUGCCCAUUGCCAUCGGUCUCACCAUCUCCCACCUCAGAGACGCCAUCUUCCCCUACCGAUUCCUCGCUACCGAUUCCUCGUUGACUGAACUUCCUUCCAAUGGACAAAAUAUUUGUUUGCUAUUUGUUGUCAGUUGAAAACUAGUUUAAACCUCUUUUUAAACUAGUUUUAAACUGACAACAAAUAGCAAACAAAUAUUUUGUCCAUUGGAAGGAAGUUCUGUCAACGAGGGUUCCGUGGGUGAAGAUGGCGUCUUUGAGGUGGCGUCUUUGAGGUGAGAGAUGGUGAGACCGAUGGCAAUGGGCAAGGCUGAAGGAAAUUAUGGAUUAAACUCGUAUACCGUGUUAACAUGCACUAUCCAUCCUAUCUUAUCUUAUCUUAUGAUCUAUUGUUCUUCUAGGAUCAAUUUAUUAUGAAUAUGUUGUUUAUCUAAUUAAAGUCAUAACUAAUUUUCUAAUUUUGUAAUUGAGGAGCGUGGUGUUUGGUUUACUACUAUGCCAAUUAACUAUUAAAUUCAUUCGGUCUCUCUAUUAUUCGGAUAGCAAUUGGGUGACAUUGGCCAACCAUAAUGUCACACGUGGCUUCCUUCUUUUUCUUUCAAAGAUUCUUUUUGUUGUUUUGCAGACUUGUAACAUUGUGGUUGGUAAUGUCACCAAUGUCACCAACCACAAUGUUUUGCAGUUAUUCCAUAAAUUCUAAAUGCAGUUGAUCAAGAAACAAAAUGAAAAAGCUAAUUAAUAAUCACUGUCUUUUUCUACCAAGAAACCAAAUCACAAGUCAAUACUGUAAACCCAAUUCAAUAUCUUAAAACAAUGGGCCAACAAAAAUAAGCAAUGUAAAGAGAGGAAAACAAAUAAAAUACCAUUGAAUCUUCAAUAAAUUGAAAUUAUAUCAUUAAAAUUUUAAAUAUAAUCAAUUCAAUGAAGAUUCUCAAAUAGAUGGUUCAUGAUGAAGAAAAGGACAUAUAUGAGAUCAGUAAAAAUGAAAAAGCUGUAAAUCAGUCUUUUUCUACCAAACAAACAAAUCACAUGCAAAAUGAAAGAUCCAGCUACAUAACAAAGAUAACAAUUAUAAAGAAACUAAAAAGAUUACCUCGUAGCACCUGCACAACAGAAGGAUGAAUGACUAUACCUAGCACUGGGUGGGAAACCUCUCCAAGACGACCACGCUUCCUCUUCCUCUAGAUUAAAGUCAGGAGGAGGAUCAAGUCCCGUCCCAUUGGAAUCAAGUCCAGUCCCAACAAAGUCACCAGCAUUAUCUUUCUUAUGAUUAAAAUUAAAAUUAAAAAUCAUAAGAUCAUUUAUUAAAUAGAGAAACAACGAACUAAAUAAAAAAAAUCAUCUAAAACUGGAUUAUCUUAUGAUUAAAAUUAAAAAUCAAAAUCAUAAGUUCGGUUGAUUCGAUCGAUGUUAUAAUUUUUCAACCAUUUCCCAUGAUUUCAGAUUUUGUAUUCCACUAUAACAAGAUAACUACUGAUUUCGUAAAAUCAACAAACUGAAUAGAUCAGAUCCGUCAAGAUAUUGUUAAAAACAGAACACAUGUGAAACUAGUGAACGACGGCGAACUAAAUUG